RNAcentral lists this transfer RNA (72 nucleotides) under Phycisphaerae bacterium. Its description in RNAcentral is "tRNA-Gln". It matches the Rfam family "tRNA". Rfam says of the family: Transfer RNA (tRNA) molecules are approximately 80 nucleotides in length. Their secondary structure includes four short double-helical elements and three loops (D, anti-codon, and T loops). RNAcentral also lists the same sequence under 4 other names. The record is from RNAcentral. Lineage: Bacteria; Pseudomonadati; Planctomycetota; Phycisphaerae.
UACCCGAUGGUGUAAUUGGCAACACAUGGCCUUUUGGUGGCCAUAUUCCAGGUUCGAGUCCUGGUCGGGUAG